This 511-nucleotide ribosomal RNA is filed under the name uncultured bacterium. Its description in RNAcentral is "partial 16S ribosomal RNA". The record is from RNAcentral.
GGAGUUAGCCGGUGCUUCUUCUGCGAGUAACGUCACAGAUGUAAGGUAUUAACUUACACCCUUUCCUCCUCGCUGAAAGUGCUUUACAACCCGAAGGCCUUCUUCACACACGCGGCAUGGCUGCAUCAGGGUUUCCCCCAUUGUGCAAUAUUCCCCACUGCUGCCUCCCGUAGGAGUCUGGGCCGUGUCUCAGUCCCAGUGUGGCUGAUCAUCCUCUCAGACCAGCUAGGGAUCGUCGCCUAGGUGAGCCUUUACCUCACCUACUAGCUAAUCCCACCUGGGCUUAUCCAUCAGCGCAAGGCCCGAAGGUCCCCUGCUUUCCCCCGUAGGGCGUAUGCGGUAUUAGCAGUCGUUUCCAACUGUUAUCCCCCACAAAUGGGCAAAUUCCCAGGCAUUACUCACCCGUCCGCCGCUCGUCAUCUUCAAAAGCAAGCUUUUGAAAUGUUACCGCUCGACUUGCAUGUGUUAGGCCUGCCGCCACGCGUCAUCUGAGCGAGAUACAACUACUCGA